RNAcentral lists this ribosomal RNA (200 nucleotides) under uncultured eukaryote. RNAcentral describes it as "partial 18S ribosomal RNA". It matches the Rfam family "Eukaryotic small subunit ribosomal RNA", at positions 588 to 788 of the family's 1831-position model. The record is from RNAcentral.
GCUCCAAUAGCGUAUAUUAAUGUUGUUGCGGUUAAAAAGCUCGUAGUUGGAUCUCAACACGUCGCGGGCGGUUCGUUAUUCGACGUUACUGCCCCGUCGAUGUGUGUGUUUUGACGGAAGCUUCGGGGUGAUCUUAAUCGAUUGUCUCGUAGUGCCGUCAGGUUUACUUUGAAAAAAUUAGAGUGCUCAAAGCAGGCUUU